Non-coding RNA from Sesamum indicum (sesame), 2200 nucleotides. NCBI's taxonomy places the organism in Eukaryota, Viridiplantae, Streptophyta, Magnoliopsida, Lamiales, Pedaliaceae. The record is from RefSeq and is a predicted model, not a curated record.
CCACAAUUCACACCAUAUUUCCCUUGCCCCAAACUUCUCUCUCUCUCUCACACACACACACAUCUCUCAGGCUUUGGUCACACAAGAUAUCACCCCUAAUUCUGGCACGCCUUCCACCACCGCCACGACUGACACCCGCCGCAGCCGCCGCUCUAUCAUGGUCUUUGUCUACUCACGGAAUAUGUGUUUCUUCUCUUCUUACUUGGUCCUCCAAACCCUCGUGAAAGCUCCCAUUUGAUUGGCCAUUUCACGCUCGAGAAUUCAUUAGUUCACGUCAAAGACCUCAUCGGUCCUUCUUGCUGUUGAGUUCUUGUGGCGUUCGAUUGCUUCCUUUUAUCAUCAGCUUGCGAGGAUCUAGCGUUUGGUGUCUCCUCUCUCGAUUACAAGUGGAGAAUUUCAGCUCUUCGUACAAAAGAAUGAAGAGGACAGCAUACUACAAUGCUGUACCUCAGGUGCAGGAUCAGUGGCCUAUCAAGAAAGCUCUGACAUUUUCUGAUGUUGAUAUCACCCAUCCUUUCCUGACAUUGUCCCGACAACAAGUUGAAACUCAUAUUGUCGUGUACAUGACACCUCAACAGCAGGAGCAUUUAAGAGCUGAAGGUCAAGUGGGUUUUAAUGCUCAGGAUGAUGAUACUGGUGAAAUGUCUGUGAUGAAGCUGAAGUGGCGUGGUAGCUAUUAUAAUCUCAUUGGCAAAUGGGGAAAAGUUGUCCGUGGAAAGGGACUUGAAGUUGGGCAGGAAAUUAAAUUAAGAUGGUUUAAUGGUUGCUUACACUUCUCUGUUCCGCAACAGCAGAUUGUUGCAGUACCACCAAUCAGAAUGGUCGCAGCACCCCUGAUACAGGACCACUGGCCUAUUAGGAAGGUCUUGACAUCAUCUGAUGUUGAUCCUAAUCAUCCUUUUCUCCCUUUGCCUCGUAAAUCUGUUGAAGAGCAUAUUCUUGUUCACUGGGUACCCCAAGAAAGGGAAAGACUGAGAAAGGAAGAGCAGGUCUCUAUAAAUGCUCGAGAUUAUGAUACAGGUGAUACUCAUGGGAUGAAAUUGAAGUGGCGAGGGAAUUAUUAUAACUUAAUUGGGAAAUGGGGGAAUAUAAUUAGACUUAAGGGACUUGGUGUUGGACAAGAGAUCAGGAUACGGUGGACAAAUAAUUGUUUAUACUUCUCAGUUCCAGAGGAACGUUAUGUCGCUACAGCAUCUGGACAUGAUAACUGGCCGAUCAAGAAAGCUCUCACAUUGUCGGAUGUGGAUACAAAUCAUCCAUUCCUUACUUUGCCAGGCAAAGCAGUGGAAGAUCAUAUUCUCUUUUACUGGACGCACCAAGCUAGGGAGCAGUUGAGGAAUGAGCAUCAAGUUGGUAUCAAUGCUCGGGAUGAUGAUACAGGCGAUUUGUUUGUGAUGAAGUUGAAAUGGCGUGGGAGUUACUACAAUCUGAUUGGUAAAUGGGGCAAAAUCAUCCGAGAGAAGAGACUCCAUGUAGGGAGAGAGAUCAGAGUACGCUGGGACAAUGGAUGCUUGGUCUUCUCAGUCCCUCAAUGAAAGAGUCCUUUCUAUGUAGAUUUAGUUGGCUUGACAGAACGUGCCACAUUUUUUGUCUAGGCUGCUAAUGACUGGUGCAAUAUUUUGACAGGAAGUUACAGAUUCAGCAGGUUAUUUUAAGAUUGAGAGGGCAUAGCUUUUAUUCCUAGGUGGCGUUUUGCUGGAGAUAUGGUGACUCUGUCCGAUUAUGUGGUUGAAUACACACUGUUGUUCUUAGGAAGUGGAUCUCAGUCUGCUGAGAAUAUAAUUUUUGCUGUACAUUAGAUACUGUAGUCAGUGGGAAUUCCAGACAGAUCAGCUGUAGCUUUGGAAGUGCAUUAUGAGCUUAUAGUAUUAGUGUAAUACCAACAUUCCCUGGCAUUUUCUACUGUGGCUCAUGAUCCUUGAUAUGAUUACUUGGUCCGACCUAUGUGAUAUCUUCUAUAUUAUUGCCUCUUUCAGCAACAAGGUAGAGGGUGAGCAAGUAGAUUUAUGACUGAUUUGAGACUUGUGUAUUUGUGUACAUAUUUGACAUGAAGGAAUUUUAGGUUUGUUGUUAUGUAAAGUUCCAUUAUACAUGCAAGAGCUGUUCUGACAGAAAAAACCUGUUAGUAAUAGUCUCGCACGUUGCAGCCAAGGAUACAGUAUCAGGUAUAACAUUGAAUAUAUAUAUACCUUGUUCUUCC